GGCUCUCUCUCUUCCUCCCCUCGUAUCUCCGGCCACCGACCACGGCUGUGGGCGGGGCCGGUACCAAAAUGACCGGGACGACGUCCCCUUCCUUCCCCGACCGUUCCCCGCCGGCGACGCGGCCUGUGCUGGCCGGAAAAUGCAGAAAACCGCCGGAAAGUCGUCGAAACUUCAACGCCGUCGAUCUCCCUCCUCCGGCCACCAAUUCCGUCGACCCAGGUAUGGAUUUUGAACCUCUCGAGCUGUUCUAGCUGCCUGUUGGUUGGGUUUUGAUCGAUUCGAUCUCUAGAUCACUCGAUUUUCGAAUUGAAAAUCGGCCGAAACUUCGGCCGCCGUGAUCGGCCAUUUCCGGCCACUUUUUGGGGUAGGUCCAAGAACAAAAGUGGCUCCAAAUAGGGUGUUAUACCUAGGGUAGGAAUUUGGAGCCGUGAUUUUGAGAUUUUCCGGCGAAGCGUUAUCGCUUUGGCACCCACGCGCUGCCGGCGCGUGCGGCGGCGCGUGGGCACUGUAGAAAAAGUAGCGAUGUGUUCCGAUGAGAUCCUUAUGUUGUCACGAGUGUGUAGGAUUUCGCGGAUCUCAAUUCGGACGUCGUUUGACUAUCGAACGGAUAAUCGCAUAUUAUGCGUUAUCCAGGUUCGAUAGGUUGGGACCGUCGGAUGGUUCCAAAUUUAAUAUAUGUUAAUCUAGGUAUUUCUAGGAUCGUGUAGGAAUUCACGGAUCGUGAAUCGGAACCCCGGAUGUUGGAUUUACUACAUGCACCACCAAGUGAAAGUUAGGUCCCACGUGGCGUAGGUUAUCCGGCGUUGGGACAGACCCCAUACGUGGCGUUGGUUGUACCGGCAUAUGGGGAGAUUCGUAAUAUUGUGUUGAGAUCGCACGUGGCGUAGGUUAUCCGGCGUGUCGACAGACCCCAUACGUGGCGUUGGUUGUACCGGCGUAUGGAGAGAUUUGUAAUAUGAAAUUGAGGUCCCGCGUGGCGUAGGUUAUCCGGCGUUGGGACAGGCCCCAUUCGUGGCGUUGGUUGUACCGGCGUAUGGGGAGUUAUGUGAUAUGAUAGAAUGGUAUGGUCGCACGUGGCGUAGGUUAUUCGGCGUGUUGACAGGCCCCAUACGUGGCGUUGGUUGUACCGGCGUAUGGGGAGAUUAUAUGAAAUACAGAGAAAUGAAAUAAGGUAUCGCCCAAAGGUGGAAUUGGGUUUGAUGGAAGAACUACGUGUGGCUUGAUCCCUCAAGGAGGGUACGUAGGCAGCCUAAGGUUAUUAGGCGCAGCCGCAGACUAAAUAUUAGUCAUAUUUUGUAUUUGAAUUGUUUGGUAGUUGUUGGAGAAUUAUUGGAAGGCCGAAGGCCAUUUGUGUGAAUUGCAUGAAAUUAUAUUGUGCAUGCUGCCAGUUGUGGAUAUUAAAUGUGUUUUCAUGCAGGUAUAAAUUUUGGGAAAUGUCCAAAUUAUAGGGGAGACUCUGCCGAAAUUUCGGCAGGAAGUCUCGAUUUUUAGUGAGUGGGCCUGACAUCGGGGUGAUGUCAGGAAUUCCAAAAGGUUCGUCUCGGAUUUUGAGAAAAUUCGGGGCGGGUCCUUAAACAAUUCUGAGAGCAAAUUAAGGCCUCCACAAUCUUAGGAGUCAAAGAAGCACGAAAUGAAUUAAUUACCCGACCACCCGUGCUAAAGCAUGAUUCCGAAGCCACCGUUGAUACCAGGAUGGCAAGCACAUCCUUUGCAAUAAGUGCCAACCCCAGAUACUUAACCCCAUUCAAUUUCCACCACUUCAAAACAUCAAAUUCAUCAACCACAUCUUCAAUAGGGUUGGUGAUGUACCUAUCAAUCUCAUGCUCCAAUACCACAACAUCAUUUGCUGGAGUCUCUUUUCUCCAAUUUUCAGUCAUUUGCCUUCGUUUCUUUCCCCCUCAGUUUAGGCUACUACUUGUAUUCAUUGUAGUAGUAUCACUAGAAUAACUACUACUUUGAGUAGAUGGUGGUGGUGGUGGUGGUGGCAUGGCGUACUCUUCAUAAAGCUUCUUUAAAAUCUCUUUGAUCUCAUUCUUCUUUUUAACCGCAUCUUCCGGAUUCUCAAACCGACUUUUCAAGAUAAAUUCCAAGUUCCCCAAUUUGUAUUGAGGGUCAAGAACAAGAGCAACCAUCAAAAUUUAGUUCAAUUUAUCAAGGUCACCCCAAUACUUUUUAAACUUCAUCUUCAUAUUAAGUGUCAUGUCCUUCAAAACCUUGGAGGUUUGGGUUUCACUUAAUAUUUCCUCCUCUUCCAUCAACAAAUCCUCAAUUUAUUUUUCCAUUGCAAUCAAGUCAUGAAAUGUGGUGUGGGAAGCGGGAUGCAAAGUGACACUCAUCUUCAAUGUAGCAUCAUAAAAUACCUUUAAAAAAUUCACAAAGGUACGAGCAUUGUUCCAAUCCUCAUUAGUUGGUGGCCCUUCCCUCUUUCUAGGGUAAUGAGACAUAACCACCCCAUCUUAGACAUCCGGUUCAUCUUCACCAAACCAAGAAAUAUAUGGACCUUCAUCAUCUUCUCCCAUUCUCCAAAAGGCCUUUUCAAACUUCAAGGAGGCUUCCAACAUCAUAUAUGUGGAAUUCCACCUUGUUGGCACAUCCAACACCACAAGCCCUUUGCAUUUAAUUUGCUCUUUCUUAACGCAACUCUUAAAGUCUUCUAACCUUUUGGGAGAAGAUCUUACAUACUUCACCGCAUUUCUUAUACAUAAUAUGCUUUUUUUCAACUUCUUCAACCCAUCACGAACUAUUAAAUUCACAAUAUGAGCACAACACCUAAUGUGCAUAUACUUUCCCUCUAGUAGAAGACUACCGUUUCCCCAAUGGCCCAUUUUCGACUUCAAAUAAUCUAUAGCCUUUGUGUUUGAAGAAGCAUUAUCGGCCGUGAUGGUUAAUAUCUUCUUCAUAUUCCAAUCAAGCAAACAUGACUCAAGGAGUUUACCAAUUGAGUUCCCCUUGUGAUUGGAAAUGACACAAAAGUUCAAGAUUCUUUUGUGCAAGUUCCAAUCACCAUCUAUGAAGUGUGCCAUGAUGACCAUGUAAUUGAUGUUUUGAACACUUGUCCAAGUGUCCGUUGUGAGGCAUACUCUAUGUGAUGCUAAUUCUUCUUUCAAUUUUUGUUUCAUGGCAUCAUACAUUGCCAUGAAAUGCCUCACAAGUGUCCUACGAGAUGACACUUGAAAAUUGGGGUUCAAAGAAUUACAAAACCGCAUAAACCCUUUUCCUUCAACCACACUAAACGACAUCUCAUCCAUUACUACCAUCUCUACACAUGCCUUUAACCACUCUUCUUUCCCAUGCAUUGUUGAUGUAAGAACCCUAUGGUCUUGGUCAAAAGACAAGAGCUUUUGCCGUUUAUCUUUAAGAACCCUCCUCGGAUAUUUCUUACAUAGGUUUUCAAUAUGCUUCCUCAAAUUUAAGGUCCCAUUUCUAGUAGAGUCUACUGCAUAACUCAUACUGCAAUACUUGCACCUAGCUCUCUUCUUAGUGGUUGCAUAUUUGCUCCAAUCCUCCUUCACCCUCUCAACCACUUCUUCAUAUCUCUCAAAGUGAUCCCAUACUUUCGAUUUUUCUUUUCUUGGGCCGGAAUGAGGUAAUGGUGGAAUACCACUAGGUUGAGGUGGUGUUUGGGCAUGAGGUGUAUUUUGAGUUGGUGUUUGAGGGAUGGGUAAAUUGGGUAAAGGUGUUGAUAUAAAUGCGGAUGCGAAUGCGGAUGUGGAUACGGAUGCGGAUGACGAACCAACUUCACUAUUAGUAGGGCCAUGCACCUCUCCAAAUGGGUUCAACUCAUUCAUGAUUUCUUUAAGAAACAAAAACAAAAAACAAAGAAAAAAACUUAACAUGAUAUAUAUUAACAAAAACACAGCUUAACAACAUAAACAACACCUCAUAUAUACAAUCCAACUAAAUGAUAAUAUCAACACUUAACUAGAAAGCAACUGACGCAGCACAAGUAACAAAGGUUUCAAGCGAAACCUUGAGUAACAAGAAAUCUGGAUUCCACCAGAAAUUAAGAGGAAUUCCCUUGGGAUAAUUGUAUUAAAAUCUGAGCUAAUGAAAAACGACAGACAAGCCUGUCUAAAUACACAAUUCUCAACCCUUGAACUGCCAGGGGAGUUAUUACAUUAAAACUGAAAAAACAGAAUUAAUUCGGAGACUUAACUACGUAACUCCGAAACUGAAAACAGAAUUUAUUCGGAUAAUUAACUACGAACUUUGAAAGCAGUUUUGGAAGGCCAAACGACCUCAGAAUGCCAAAAUCCAUCAUACAUCAUAGCAAAGCGGUGAGUUUGACUCGUGGCGUCGUUCCCUUUCUGAAAUGGCAUUUUGCGUCCUAAUCGGAGCUCGGACGACAAAUCUGCAAAUUCCCGCUACGUCCUUUUUCUAGCUCAACCGCGAUAAAAUCUGCCAUCUGUUCUACAUCAGCAACUGAAAAACAGAAAUCAAUUAACUGAAAAACAGAAACCAAUUAACUGAAAAACUGAAAAACGGAACAACAAAUCUGUUAUGCACUGUCAAUUAAUCAAUUAAUCCUUUUGAAUGCACAACCAAUUAAUAAAUUUGAAUGCACACUAGUAAAUCAAACCGAAACACCAAACAAAAGUCAACUACAAGCUAACAACACUUAACUAGAAAGCAACUAAAAAACAGAAACCAAUUAACUAGACUUAAGCCAAGCAAGAAAAUAUAGGGUUUCAAAUUGCAGUUUUGACAAAUAUGACCUCUGUUCAGUUUUUAGCCUUUAACUUUCAGACCACUAGCCCAAUUUUGACAUUCUUUGCAUCAUUGGAUUCAGCACGAAAAAACAAAGAAUCCUAAGCAAGCCAAUUUCUCAAAAUAAUUGCCUAUGACAGCAGUAAUAAAGCAAAACGAAAAACUGAAAAUCUCAAAAUUUGCAAAACUGAAAAUCUGCAAAACUGAAAAACUGAAAACUGAACAGAAAAUCUGUUAUGCACUGUCAAUUAAUCAAUUAAUCAAUUUGAAUGCACAACCAAUUAAUCAAUUUGAAUGCACACUAGUAAAUCAAACCGAAACACCAUAUCUAAUUCCCUAAACAAAUAAUGAGCAGAAAUAUAUAGACUACAGUCAUGAAAGUUUGAUAAAAAUACAAAUGCAAACAGAUUGGAAAUAACAAUAUUGAUUAUUGAAGAUUAACCAUUUACAGAAGAGUGAGAAAUUCACCUUUGGCACUGAGAGAGUCUUCAAUGGAAAACUGACCAGGAAGAGUGCGCGGCUGCGUCAAUGGGAGAAAAAAAAGAGUGCGUCUGCUGGAAGCUGCAACCUGCUCCAGAAAUAUGGAUGAUGAUCUGCACGAACUGCUGAUGGAGGACAUAGAGAUGGUCAGACAGAGAAUCGAAGGGGGAAAAGAAACAAAAAGAAAAAACAAAGAAAAAAGAAAGCCAGAAUCGAACCUGCUGACGACGGCGCGACGGCUGAAGAAGAACAAGGAUGGCUGCAAGAGUGCUGGAAGCUGCAGAGGAAAAGAGAUGUUCAGGUUCGCGGCUCUCAGAUCAGACAGAGAGAGGAAAUAAAAUUGAAGAAGGAAGAAAGAAACCCCCAAAUCAUGUUUUAGUUGUGAUGAUCCUCUGUGUGUGUGCGUACGGUAGUAGUUUAGACAGCCAAUACAAAAUAGCCACAUGUUAACUAUAUAUAUAAAAUAUAAAAUAUAAAUAUAUAUAAUAUAAAAAUAUAUAUUAAUUAAUUAUAUUGGACCGGUUCGGAUUGGACCGGUUCCUUGUAGUAGAAAAUCGAAAUUGGAAUCAGUCUGAACCGGUUCGAUUCGGAUUUGACUCAGUUUUUGACUUUUUUAGUUAACACGGUUUUUUUAAGAUUUUUUCGGUUUGGUUUGGUUCGGUUUUGCGAUUUUGCGGUUCUAAUGCCCAUCCCUAGUGGCUACUAUUGCAAGGGCCUCGUCAUCUUGAGAGACCUUGUCAAGUACCUCCCAUCCGUACAUACAUCUUUGCAACUUUUUGAGAUGUUUGCAGUGCUUUCCAAUUGCCUCAAGUGCAGGAUCUGCAAAACACCUCUCUUCCCCAGCACAGCCUGCAACUUUAAACUUCGAGAACUUGGUCACGUUUUGAAAAACAAUUGGUAUGGUUUCAGAUUGAUAGAAAUCAUAGAUUCGCAUCGCCUACUUGCUGAAAGCACAAAUAGAAUUGCAUAUCUGUAUUGCUUGAAUGAAGACACCUGAUCGGCCCGACUUUCCCAAAUGCCCGCCACAGGCCUUGCUCCUUUCUGAGUUGAUUUUUUCAAGGGCGUGAUUUUGAUUCCUCCAUAUUAGUCCAAAUGGUUGAACUAAAAUGUUAGGCCCUCACUGUUACUCUUUUAUUAAAUUUCAAUCUCUCUGAACCCAACAACAAAUUCAAGUGAGAGAAAUAUUGAAUAAUGGAGGUGGAAUUUACAGAGGCACGCAACAGAUCUGGAGGAAGCUACAUCUGGAGGAAGCUACAGAGGCACGCAGCAGAUCUGGGUAUGGGGCUUGGUCGACGUCGAAAACCUAGGUGGGGUUGAGAGAUUUCGGGGCGAUCGGUGUGAUGGGCAAUUAGCAAAGGCGAUAGGUCUUCGUCGAUGAACAAGAACUUGCAGACGAAGGGGAUGAACAAGAGCAGAGACUCAAUUCCAACUUUGAUGAAGACGUUGGCCUAGAUCAACCCACAGAGAGAGAGAGAGAGAGAGAGAGAGAGAGAGAGAGAGAGAGAGAGAGAGAGAGAGAGAGAGAGAGAGAGAGAGAGAGAGAGAGAGAAGAUGAGUUUUUUUUUUUUUGGGUUUUCAGAUUUUUUUAAUUGUUUUUUAAUUUUUUAUAUUAAUUUUAUGUCUUAUGUGGAGUCCGCACAGUUAAAAAAAGGGUCCCACAAAUGUCACGUAGGCAAAUAACGAAUUUUGUGACGAUCUCGCUAAUGGAGGGGGUAAAUUGUAGGUUUUCCGCGACGUUGAGUAUGUACUCAUAAAUGUUCCCAAAAUCAGGUAUGCACUCGUAAAUGACCCUAUAGGUUGAGGGGUUUACUGUAGUUUAUCAUAAUAUUUUAUAUAUAUUUGUAUAAAACAGAGCUGCCCACUUGAGCAAUUAGUUCAUUUGGAUUCAAUAAUCUAUAUUUUUAAUAGAUAAUGAAAGACUCAAAUGAUGUGACCAACUUUGAUGAAUAUUAUGAGGAAUGUGACGAAAAGAUCAAAUUAAUGUGCAAAUUAAAAAUUUAAAGAUUAC
This 7195-nucleotide long non-coding RNA is filed under the name Prunus persica (peach). RNAcentral describes it as "long non-coding RNA (PPER_LNC005137)". Lineage: Eukaryota; Viridiplantae; Streptophyta; Magnoliopsida; Rosales; Rosaceae. The record is from RNAcentral.